GGGGGUGACUGGCUUCGACGGGAAUCAAGAGGUCAACAGAGCGUGUCGAGCUCUCGGAGUCUCGUAAAACCUUCGGGAAAACAUUAGUUGCCAACGAUAAUUUGGCCCUCGCAGCUUAAUUGACUGCGACGUCUCUCCCCUUUUUGUCUGCGGGAGGGGAAGAGGCGACACUUUGCAGGCUGGUCCAAUGCUGAUGCUCAGAGGCGGCGGAUGAGAAC
This 218-nucleotide transfer-messenger RNA is filed under the name Nitrospirota bacterium. RNAcentral's name for it is "partial transfer-messenger RNA". It matches the Rfam family "transfer-messenger RNA", at positions 1 to 241 of the family's 374-position model. Rfam says of the family: Bacterial tmRNA, also known as 10Sa RNA or SsrA, is named for its dual tRNA and mRNA-like properties. Its role is to liberate the mRNA from a stalled ribosome. To accomplish this part of the tmRNA is used as a reading frame that ends in a translation stop signal. Lineage: Bacteria; Pseudomonadati; Nitrospirota. The record is from RNAcentral.